GGUCUGGGCGGGCGGUCCACCUUCCGGUGAGCACUGUUCCGACGCCGGGCCUAUCCUUCUGGUGAGACGGCAUGCCCUUCGCUGGGUGUGUCGGGGAACCAGGACCAUUACCUUGAAAAAAUUAGAGUGUUCAAAGCAGGCAUUUGCUCGAAUACAUUAGCAUGGAAUAAUGAAAUAGGACGAUCGAUCCUAUUUUGUUGGUUUCUAGGAUUGACGUA
This 218-nucleotide ribosomal RNA is filed under the name uncultured Ambispora. RNAcentral describes it as "partial small subunit ribosomal RNA". The stretch from base 94 to 218 matches the Rfam family "Eukaryotic small subunit ribosomal RNA", at positions 738 to 864 of the family's 1831-position model. The record is from RNAcentral. Lineage: Eukaryota; Fungi; Glomeromycota; Glomeromycetes; Archaeosporales; Ambisporaceae.